Molecule: unclassified non-coding RNA, 670 nt
Filed under: Hevea brasiliensis (rubber tree)
Lineage: Eukaryota; Viridiplantae; Streptophyta; Magnoliopsida; Malpighiales; Euphorbiaceae
Source: RNAcentral
GAAAUGUUGAGAAUACUGAUCGUGGUUCUGAUGAGUUCUCAAAUUUGGGUUCAGAUUCUCAAAGUGGAAGUGAUAGAUUAGUUCAUGCUCAAAUGCAGGCGGAGUUAGCAAAGAAAGAGGUAGAAAGUGAUAAGAAGGUGAGAAUGAAGAGUGCUAGAAAUGAGCAGAAAAAUUCAACAAAACUAAGAAGUGGAUCCAAUAGAGAAGGAAAUGAGGGUUUAGUUUCUAAUAAUGUGUCGAAAGAUGGAAACAGUCGCAUGGGCAUGCAGAAUAAGCUCAGGAAGAGCACAGAUCAGAGGAAGUUGUCUGUCCAUGCUGAAAAAUUUAAUUCAGCGGAAGCUGGGAAGUCUAGAGUAAAGAAUAAGGGUCAUAUCCCAGUUGAUAGUGACGGAAAGCAUGGAAGGUUUAAUCUGGUAGACAUGUUUGAUGAUUCAGAUUCUCCAGUGUUUGAAUUGAGUCUGCUAAACGAUGGGAGUUAUGAGCUUCAACCAGACAAUUAAGAGUUCUGAUGUAGACAAGCUCAAAUUUGGUAGAGAGAAUAUGUAAAUCAUCCUUGUUCAUAUAUAUACUUUUGCAUCUUUAACAGUUACUCGUUAGAUCCACAUCGGAAACUAAAAAGAACUUCGAGUUCAGCACGUGAAGUGUGAACUGGGGAUGUGAAGCUUUUGUA